GGCAGCGCGGCUCUAGCGUACGUUGGUCUUACUUAGACCUAGGCCUAGGCCUCAAGCCGUGAUCUCCCUGCCUCCGCGGCGCAUGCAGACAGGCCGAGGGGAUGCGGUCUGCAAGGCCUUUCCACCCCGCAGGCGGCUGCCCUCGUUCACGCAAAGCCGGGGAGGCAGUGAGGACGCCGGCCAGCCUGGAACCUCCGCGCGGAUAACGCAACGUGGGCCCAAGAUUUGGGUAACAGUUUAUCUGAAAAUGGAAAAGAAGAAAAGCCACAACCAUAAAACCCAUAGUUGGCACACAUUACAUGUUACUACAGCGUGUUGCAGCUGAUAAAAGACAAUAGACCUAUGAAGUAAAGAAUGGUGAUUCUUGAAAGGAGGAAAACAAAUGAGGUGAGUGAGACUAAUGACUGUCCUAAUUUCUGCCCUAAAUCUGCAGAGAAAAUCAGUGGGACAAAAGGUUGGUUCUUUGAUGACAUUCAUAAAACAGACCUGUGGUUGCACUGAUCAUAAGAAGAGAGGAGACACAGAUGACUCAUAUUAACAAUGGAAGACCCUAUCACUAUGAAUACCUACAGAUUCGGCAAAAACAGAAAAGAGUAUUUGAACAACUUCUGAUGACUAAGGAAUCCUUGAUCCAUGCAAAUUGCCAGAACUGACACCCCCACAAAAAAACAGAAAAUCUGAGUAAACCUGUAUUUGUUAAAUUUAAACUGUAAGUAAAAUCCUUCCCACCAAGAAAAUGGCAGGCACUGAUGGCCUCAAUCGUGAAUUGUGUCAUGCUUUUAAGGAAGCUUGUUGAUUUUGUACAAACCCUUUCAGGAAGUAAAAGUG
Molecule: non-coding RNA, 828 nt
Organism: Castor canadensis (American beaver)
Lineage: Eukaryota; Metazoa; Chordata; Mammalia; Rodentia; Castoridae
Source: RefSeq, a predicted model, not a curated record